UUUACAUACCCCCAAAUUAAUCAAAUCUUGAAAUUUGUCUUGUUCAGUAUUAAUACACAUGCAUGGAAGACCUUGUUUUUUAUUUAACGUUUAGAUUAAUGCGAGUUUUUUUUUUCUCUUCUUUUUUAAUAGGUUAAUGCAAGUGGUUCAGUUCAGAACAAAGGUUGGACUCUUGAAACUGUCGACCAUAAGGAUUCCAAGGAGCCUGAGGUAUUGAGAAUCAGGGGUUUUAAAUUUAACAAAGUUGAUCAGCUAGAAGCAAAAUACACCGAGCCUGGCAAGUUUACCCUCAAGCCUUGAACCUGCAUCUGCUCUUAAGAAAUUUUAGCCUCUCAUCUAGAGAAGAUUCAUAUAAGUAUUGUUGGAAGUGAGAGAGUUAGAAGGUGGAGCUUCCUUGCGGCAUCGCCACAUUCAGAGUCUCAAUUGAAAUCAGGGGGCAGGCAGGAUUCUUAUGAAGAAGAAGCUAUUGAACUUACAGCGGAGGGACUGGAUACCAUUGAAGCAAUUGAUUGUGUUUUAGGAUCAUCUUGGAGUUUCCUUUUGGGAACUUGAUUCCAAGUAUACUGGGUUAGUAUGAUGCAAUCAAAUACUUCAAUGUUUCCUUUUGAAUUGAGAGGUGAAAAGGUUUGAUUAAGGCCUGUCUGUGAAAUCUUUGUCAUGUUUGGAUCAGGAAUUGUUAUUAGUAGCUAGUGCUCUUCUUUGUUCUGUUUUAUUAAGCUCUGACACAGUGAAAUCAUAAUUAAGCAUUUAUGGUUGAGUAGAGACGGGUUCUAAACAUCAUUGUCCACUUGA
This is a long non-coding RNA of Arachis stenosperma, 792 nucleotides long. RefSeq lists it as uncharacterized. The transcript has 4 exons. NCBI's taxonomy places the organism in Eukaryota, Viridiplantae, Streptophyta, Magnoliopsida, Fabales, Fabaceae. The record is from RefSeq and is a predicted model, not a curated record.